UUUUUGUGCUAUUCACAGAAAAAUCGAUGGCAGUUGUUUGUGUUUGUGGGUGAUGCUGCUCUCAAAGUGCCCACAUCCCUGAAGCACCGCAUCCAAAACCUUCAGGACUUCUUGUUGAAUAAAAAACCCACUCCUGAAAAGGUGCUGCUGCUUCUCCACAAGACAAACACAGGCAAAGGCUGAUCACCAGUGGAGGUGUUCCUAGUACACAGGAGAGGUGGAUAAGGGGCCCUUUCGCGUCGUGCAGGAUGGAUGGGAACAUGCAAAACUAAGCCCUCUUUCCCCGAGGACUGAAAUCUUUCCCGGGAGCCAAAACUCUAAACCCACGGGAGAGGCGCUGUCAGAAUAUGACGCUGAAGGGGCGUGGUUUUGCCCAAAUAUGGCGCUCUGACGGUUCCUGUCAAGCAGUGGCGCUCCUCUGUACGGGUACAGCCCUAUAGUGCAGCAGGCUGAGAACACUCUUUCGCUCCACUUUUCCUCUUGCUUAGGCCCUAUAUGUGGAGCCAUCUGGACGUGGAGAGGGAGUCAGCUGCUCCACACACUGAGGCGCGGAGCCUGAAUCCGUCUCAGCUCAUUCUGUGGGAUCAUCUGCGUGGUGGGCUUACACCGUGGAAAAUGCGCUCUCCAUCAUUAGCGCGCAUGUGCGUGUGCAUGGCCACACAGGCAGCAGCCUUUCCCUCAAUACUCAAGAGAACUUUAAUUUGCCUGUUGACCCCUGUGAUGGAGCUACUGCCAGCUUAAAGUGAUACUGCCCCACCUACAGGAGUCCAAUAAUUCUCAAGUCCCUCACGUGUAUAUUUUUCUAAAUGUUGCAUCAGUGCAUCUAAUUUACUAUCCUUAAAGUAAUACAAAUGUGAUGGUGAUUGGCAAGGUGUCUCAUUCUGUGCAAUGCGGUACAAUUCAUAAGUCUACAGAAUUUGUAUUUUAGUUAGAGAUCCUUAUUAAUAUUGAACUGUGUUACUAUUAACAGAAAUGUUAAUUAUGAUGUCAAGACGGAGAGAGUCAAGGUGAAAGCUGCACAGCAAUAGCUAAAAAUAAUCCAUGCCAGCCAGAGUACAGUAUGAUCCUGCAGAGGAGUGUUACUGGCAAGGGACCUUUUUGCUGCAACAAAGAGGUGGAAAAGAGGAAGUAAAUGAAUUAGAGUACAAGCCAGUUUUUGUCUGUGUUUCAUCCACACUUGUCCUGUCCUUAAUUUCCAACCUCUCCCUUUUCCUUGCUAUUGGAAGUGCUGCAAAUUGUAUAAUGCUUGUCUUUGUUCUACAGAGUCAAGCCACAUGAAUAGCUGUCCUGAGCACACACAAAAACACACUGACAAACUGAUCAUCUUAAAAAAGCAACGCCCUGGUGCUCACUUGGCCUACUUUCCACGGCAGCACUGGGACGUGGGAAGAGGAAUAGAAUUCAGGGGAGGAUGUUCUUGCACUCUGGGAAACAUCCAGUAUAGCAAGUGUGAUGCACAUAAACAUAGCCUUUGCAUUGUCAACCUUAGACCGCAUUUGCCCCAGAUAACUAGUCCCCAUGUGCUAGACUAUUCUCUUUGACUUUGCAAUUGAAAUCCUAAGAAGAUUAUGCCAAAGCUAAAAGAGGCAAACUCCAGGGUGGGAUUUCAAUUGUCAAUUCCUGUUGGAUUUUAUAGCAUUAUGACAUAUAGUACACCAUCUGUUACACUUCCUGUGACUAGGACUAUGUCUGCACAAGUGGAGCCUAUUGAUGUGAACAUCGUUACAAUUAAGACCUAUAUGGUUUUUAAUGGACAGCAAUAUUCAAUCACCAAUAUUGUUCUUUAUACACUCUGUAUUAUACACAAAUGUGUGACUAAGCACAGGGGGGUCUUCAGGUUUCAAAAGACAAGGGUAAAUUAGGAAGGUGCAGUGAAAGUAACCACUCCUAACUUUAGCUAAACAGACUUCCUGAAGCGCUAGAUAAUCUAGGGCUUCUAUGUACACCGCCUAACCAAAUGUCGACAUCUGCGAGGGUGUGCAUAAAGAAAAUCUCCUCAGAGAAACGGGGGAUAAUAAUCUUAGUUACCCUCACCUUCAGUUUGCCCAUAGGGGUUUGAAAAGGAGAUGAAGAAAUCCUAUGUAAACAUGCCAAGUCAAAUUUUCACUUGAAAUGUGACAUGGAGGCAAAGGCCAACCUUGGUGCUUCACUAAUGUGGUUCCACACAUGAGUUUUCAGUGCCCCUGGAUGUAAACAAUUGAUGUAUUCAGUCCGUGGUUUGAGCAGUGACUCACUUUGCACACUUAGUAUGUUUGAACAUCUUUUUCUCCAUGACUGUACGUUUAGUGCAUAGGUGA
Etheostoma spectabile (orangethroat darter) is the source of this 2297-nucleotide long non-coding RNA. RefSeq lists it as uncharacterized. NCBI's taxonomy places the organism in Eukaryota, Metazoa, Chordata, Actinopteri, Perciformes, Percidae. The transcript is spliced from 3 exons. The record is from RefSeq and is a predicted model, not a curated record.